RNAcentral lists this transfer RNA (77 nucleotides) under Burkholderiales bacterium PBB2. RNAcentral describes it as "tRNA-Arg". It matches the Rfam family "tRNA". From Rfam's summary of the family: Transfer RNA (tRNA) molecules are approximately 80 nucleotides in length. Their secondary structure includes four short double-helical elements and three loops (D, anti-codon, and T loops). Further hydrogen bonds mediate the characteristic L-shaped molecular structure. tRNAs have two regions of fundamental functional importance: the anti-codon, which is responsible for specific mRNA codon recognition, and the 3' end, to which the tRNAs corresponding amino acid is attached (by aminoacyl-tRNA synthetases). tRNAs cope with the degeneracy of the genetic code in two manners: having more than one tRNA (with a specific anti-codon) for a particular amino acid; and 'wobble' base-pairing, i.e. permitting non-standard base-pairing at the 3rd anti-codon position. The record is from RNAcentral. Lineage: Bacteria; Pseudomonadati; Pseudomonadota; Betaproteobacteria; Burkholderiales.
CCGACCAUAGCUCAACUGGAUAGAGCACCCGCCUUCUAAGCGGGCGGUUGCAAGUUCGAUUCUUGCUGGUCGGGCCC